UCCGGGGGAGGCCGCGAAUGCUUUAUACCCAGGGCUGUCCGAAUUGGCAACCCGCCAAGCGGUCCAUGGGCUGGCACGCGCCAUUUUCGUGGUACGUCAGAAGUUAUACAUCCUCAGUACCUGCAGGAGAGGAUUACUCGUGAGUAGUUGCGAGCGAAAAGCGGAUGAUGGCUAAACCCGUGCGUGUGGAUACCCGUCGGGGGUUUGCCGCGCAUGGCGUGUCGUGGGACAGCCUGUCAGCGGCCCGACGCCGGUUGGCUGUGGUGAUAAAUGCAUGCGUGAGGCGAACCGCGGUUGGAUACCGGGCGGAUGAGGGUGAUGGCCCGUAGCCGUAUGCGCGUGGCACCAUGGAUGGUGUCUCCGAAGUAGCGCGGGACCGUGAAUCCGUGUGAAUCGCCCCGGACCGUCGGUAAGCUGAGGUAUACCUUGUCUGACCGAAGGCGUACGGAGUUACGUUGAGGGAAAGGUGAAAAGCACCCCGGGGGGGAGUGAAAGGUUCCUGAACCGUGCGCCCGCGAACCCGUCGAGCCCCCUGGUGGGGGUGGACGGCGUGCCUAUCGAAAAAUGAGUCUGCCGAGUCAUGUGGCAUUGUGGGCAGCAUACAGCCGUUGGUGUAUGCGUGCGGAAAGCGAGUCCUUAAAAGGCGUUUGGUCGCGUGUCCUGACCGAAGGGGAUUGAUCUAAGGCCUGGUCAGGUGAAGCGUGGGUAGAGACGCGUGGAGGACCGCACCCACUUAGUUGAAAACUGAGGGGAUGAACUGGGGUUAGGCGGUGAAAGGGGCCAAUCAAAUUUCGUGAUAGCUGGUUCUCUUCGAAAUGCAUUUAGGUGCAGCGUCGGUUGAUUCGUGUGGGGGGUAGAGCUACUGGGAUCUGCUUGCGGCCCGCUACCGGGUACCCAACAGGCAACAACUUCCGAAACCAUCGCGUCUAUUCGCAGUGAGUCGGGGGCCCCAGGGGGAUAUAAGCUCCGUCGUCGAGGGGAGGACAGCCCUGGGACCGUCGUCUUAGAGGUCCCCAAGCGCGUGCUUAAGUUGGGGGAAAGGAUUGUGGAGUGCAUAGAAGCCCAGGGUUUGCUCAGCAAGCAGCCAUCCUUUGAAAGACGUGCGUAACAGCUCAUGCGUCUAGUGGGUCCGCCGCGACAAAUGUACGGGCUCAAGCACGCCGAACGACGGGGCGGAUGCAACGUUGUUGGGUUGCGGUGGUAGGAGAGCGUCCACACCGGGGCGAAGCGGCGGGGGACACCCGGCCCGUGGACUGUGUGGGAGUGAGAAAUGCCAGAACAGUGGAGUUAGCGGGAGAGCAGGGGUGAGGAUCCCUGCCGCUGAAGACCAAGGGUUCCACGGGCCACGUUCGUCGUCCCUGGGUGAGUCCGGGUUCUAAGGCGAAGGCCGACAGGCGUAGUUCGAAUGGAUGAACGGGUGCGAUAUUCCCUGUACGGGCUUUCGGACCGACCAGCAGGCCCGCUGUGAACAAGGGCCAUGCCGAUACGGUUGAUGGGGGCUUGCGCCUUCUGAUUCCGUUUGCUGUUUGGCUGGACGCGGGCAUGGGUUUGAGGCGUUUCAGGAGUUGACGCGGACGGGUAGGGCCGGGCGGGGAGGUUGGUUUUUCCCUGGUGCCAAAGCGUGUGGCCCCGCCCCCAGGGCAAAUCCGGCGGGCAUGAUGGGGUGAGGCGGAUGAUGGGCGCUGUUUUCACGGCGUCGAAUAUCCGGUGAUCCCGUUCGCCGACGAACACGGGCAUUGCUGCGCGAGGUUCCGUUGCCGCCCGUACCCCAAACCGACACAGGUGGUCUGGUAGAGUAUACCGAAGCGAUCCGAGGCGAAUCCUGGUCCAAGGACACUGCGGCAAAUUUGCUCCGUGGGCUUCGGCAUAAGGGAGACGGCCCCGGGCGUUCGGCCCGUUCGCGGCCGCGGCGCUGGGGGUGGCACAGCCAGGGGUAGCCGACUGUUUUUAACGGCAAAAGCACAGGUGCAUGCCAAGGACGCAAGUCGCCGUAAUAUGGCACUGAUCGCUGCCCCGGUGCCGGAAGGUUAAGAGGAUGCCAUCCAGGCGUCCCUCGCGGGAAAUGCGAAGUGUGAAUUCAAGGCGCCCGGUACAACGGCGGUGGUAAACUAUGAAACACGUCCUAAGGUAGCGAAAUUCCCUUGUCGGUAAGUCCGACGCUGCACAAUGGCGUAACGAUUCCGCGCUGUCUCGACAGGAAGCCUCGGCGCGAAAUUGGGCAGUACGAGUAAAGAUGCUCGUUUAGCGCCCAGAAGGACGAAAAGACCCGGGACCUUUACUAUACCUUGGUAUUGGCACAGGUGCGGUAUUGUCGCUAGCAUAGGCGGAAGGCCUUCGAAAAGGCCACGGCGCCAGCCGGUGGUGGAGGCCGGCCAGUGAAAUACCGCCCUCUGUCCCCAUCUGAUGCCCCUAACCCGCGACCAAGUGAAGCCUUGUCGGGGAGAGUGCCUGGCCGGGUAAGUUUAACUUGGGGCGGUUGCCCUCCCAAGAGUAACGGAGGCCGCUCAAAGUCCCGCUCGCGCCGGUUGGCAAUCGGGUGUCGAGUGUAUCGACACAAGCGGGCUUUGACUGCCCGAGUCGACGGAUCGAGCAGGGACGAAAGUCGGAGAUAGUGAUUCCCGGGGGCGGGCGGCCGGCUGCCGCGCGUACGGACGCGGCAUCGCUCAACGGCAUUAAAAGGUACCCCGGGCGGAUAACAGGCUGAUCAUUCCCAAGCAGAGUCCAUAUCGACGGAGUGGUUUUGGCCCACCUCGAUGUCGGCUCGUCGCAUCCUGCGCUGGAGCCCAGGCCUUCCCAAGGCGUUCGGCCUGCUUCGCCGCAUUAAAGCGGCACGCCGCAGCUGCCGGUUCAGAACGUCCGUGAGACAGUUUGGGUCUCUAUCCUCUUGCCGCUCGUCGGAAUCCUGAAGGAGGCCUGCCCCCAUAGUGCGAGAGGGCACCUGCGGUGAGACGAACUCUGGUAUGCCAGUUGUUCCCGCCAGGGGGCCACGGCUGCGUUGGCCACGUUCGGGGAGGGAUAACCGCUGCAAAGCAUCUAAGCGGGAAGCCCGGCUCCAAGAUAAGGAUCCUGACACCCCCCCUGGGGGCGUGCUGUGUGAGAACCCCCAUAGCAGAACAUGCUGGUUGAUAGACCGACGUGGAAGCCCCGGCGAGGGUGGAGCGACCGGCAUUAACGUCGAAAGACAACCAACA
This 3191-nucleotide ribosomal RNA is filed under the name Bifidobacterium animalis subsp. animalis IM386. Its description in RNAcentral is "bacterial LSU rRNA". It matches the Rfam family "Bacterial large subunit ribosomal RNA". Lineage: Bacteria; Bacillati; Actinomycetota; Actinomycetes; Bifidobacteriales; Bifidobacteriaceae. The record is from RNAcentral.